CAAUAGCGUAUAUUAAAGUUGUUGCAGUUAAAAAGCUCGUAGUUGGAUUUCUGUGAGAGUGCCGGUGUCGGCUGAUGCUUGUACGCAGGCGCUCUUAUAUCCUUCUGUUAACUGUUCUUGGCAUUUUAUUGCUGGUUCAGGGCUCAGAUAUUUUACCUUGAGAAAAUUAGAGUGUUUCAGGCAGGCUUAUGCCGGAAUACAUUAGCAUGGAAUAAUGGAACAGGACCUGUGCGUCUCUCGGGGCGCCGGUCUCCGUUGUUGGUUUCGGGGACUAAUGUAAUGAUUAAUAGGGAUAGUUGGGGGCAUUAGUAUUUAAUAGUCAGAGGUGAAAUUCUCGGAUUUGUUAAAGACUAACUUAUGCGAAAGCAUUUGCCAAGGACGUUUUCAUUAA
This 391-nucleotide ribosomal RNA is filed under the name uncultured eukaryote. RNAcentral describes it as "partial 18S ribosomal RNA". It matches the Rfam family "Eukaryotic small subunit ribosomal RNA", at positions 592 to 976 of the family's 1831-position model. The record is from RNAcentral.